This 70-nucleotide transfer RNA is filed under the name Degeeriella rufa. RNAcentral's name for it is "tRNA-Trp". Lineage: Eukaryota; Metazoa; Arthropoda; Insecta; Psocodea; Philopteridae. The record is from RNAcentral.
CGGGGCGUAGGUUAGAUUACAUAAACCUCUAUCCUUCAAAGAUAGUAAUGGGAUGAAUUCCCUGUCUCGG